AGUGAACGCUGGCGGUAGGCCUAACACAUGCAAGUCGAACGGCAGCACAGUAAGAGCUUGCUCUUACGGGUGGCGAGUGGCGGACGGGUGAGGAAUACAUCGGAAUCUACUUUUUCGUGGGGGAUAACGUAGGGAAACUUACGCUAAUACCGCAUACGACCUACGGGUGAAAGCAGGGGAUCUUCGGACCUUGCGCGAUUGAAUGAGCCGAUGUCGGAUUAGCUAGUUGGCGGGGUAAAGGCCCACCAAGGCGACGAUCCGUAGCUGGUCUGAGAGGAUGAUCACCCACACUGGAAUUGGACACGGGCCCAGACCCCUAGGGGAGGCAGCAGGGGGGAUUUUGGGAAAAGGGGCGAAAGCCUGACCCAGCCAUCCCGGGGGGGUGAAGAAGGCCUUCGGGUUUUAAAGCCCUUUUUUUGGGAAAAAAAAGCAGCGGGUUAAUCCCCCGCUUUUCUGACGGUACCAAAAAAAAAAGCACCGGCUAACUUCGG
RNAcentral lists this ribosomal RNA (491 nucleotides) under uncultured bacterium. RNAcentral's name for it is "partial 16S ribosomal RNA". It matches the Rfam family "Bacterial small subunit ribosomal RNA", at positions 29 to 506 of the family's 1533-position model. The record is from RNAcentral.